CCCUUAGAUGUUCUGGGCCGCACGCGCGCUACACUGACGAAUGCAACGAGCUUAUAACCUUGGCCGAAAGGUCUGGGUAAUCUCCAAAUUUCGUCGUGAUGGGGAUAGAUUAUUGCAAUUAUUAAUCUUCAACGAGGAAUGCCUAGUAAGCGCAAGUCAUCAGCUUGCGUUGAUUACGUCCCUGCCCUUUGUACACACCGCCCGUCGCUCCUACCGAUUGAAUGGUCUGGUGAAGCGUUCGGACCGUGGCCUUUGGACGGUUCGCCGUCUGUUGGCUGCGGGAAGUUCGUUAAACCUUAUCAUUUAGAGGAAGGAGAAGUCGUAACA
This 327-nucleotide ribosomal RNA is filed under the name uncultured eukaryote. RNAcentral's name for it is "partial 18S ribosomal RNA". It matches the Rfam family "Eukaryotic small subunit ribosomal RNA", at positions 1470 to 1796 of the family's 1831-position model. The record is from RNAcentral.